This is a long non-coding RNA of Hirundo rustica (Barn swallow), 596 nucleotides long. RefSeq lists it as uncharacterized. The record is from RefSeq and is a predicted model, not a curated record. NCBI's taxonomy places the organism in Eukaryota, Metazoa, Chordata, Aves, Passeriformes, Hirundinidae. The transcript has 3 exons.
CCAGCAGCAGGAACAGCAGCAGCUGCCCUCUAUCAUUCACAUGUUCCAUAUGUGUGGUCAGGACAGAUAAUACCAGGAAUUGUUCCAUGUCCUGGGAUGGCUUUAAAGCAAUAACAAGCUUCCUGAGUUUUGUGCUGCUGGACACGGCCAAGCUGGUCCAUAACAGGGAAGGAUGCCCUGGAGAUCUGACCCACAAGAAAGGGCCCGGACGAUUGGGAUGGGCAGGGACACUCUGGAUAGCAGGUGGCCAGUUUGGGACCUGACCUUCACUGGAGCUGGCUGAGCAAGGCUGCCUCUCACAGGGGGCGAGGGCAGCGUGGUGACACAGCCUGGCUUUUUUUGGCCAUGGAGAUUGGAUUGCAAGGCCAGCAUGGAUGGACUCACCAUGGCGCAGAGACAACAUGGAUGGACUCUCCAUGGGGCUCUGUCUACCUGCGCCUCACCUUACUCUGUGUCCCCUCCCACAAAGGCACCACCCACAGACACAGAGCCUCCAGCUGCGCCCAACGCCUCCACCCACCAGGAGAGGGACAAAAAUAUUCUGGGUCUUGGGGUUUUUAUCUUGUUCUCUUGUCUCAAAAGAUACAUCUCAGUUU